Molecule: ribosomal RNA, 550 nt
Filed under: uncultured bacterium
Lineage: Bacteria
Description: bacterial SSU rRNA
Rfam family: Bacterial small subunit ribosomal RNA
Source: RNAcentral
UGGGGAAUCUUGCGCAAUGGGCGAAAGCCUGACGCAGCAACGCCGCGUGUGUGAUGAAGGCCUUCGGGUUGUAAAGCACUGUCAGGAGGGAAGAAAUGCCAAUGGUUAAUACCCAGUGGCUAUGACGGUACCUCUGAAGGAAGCACCGGCUAACUCCGUGCCAGCAGCCGCGGCAAUACGGAGGGUGCGAGCGUUGUUCGGAAUCAUUGGGCGUAAAGCGCGUGUAGGCGGGGACGCAAGUCAGGUGUGAAAGCCCGGGGCUCAACCUCGGAAUGGCGCCUGAAACUGCGUCUCUUGAGUACGGGAGGGGGAAGCGGAAUUCUUGGUGUAGGGGUGAAAUCCGUAGAUAUCAGGAGGAACACCGAUGGCGAAGGCAGCUUCCUGGACCGAUACUGACGCUGAGACGCGAAAGCGUGGGGAGCAAACAGGAUUAGAUACCCUGGUAGUCCACGCUGUAAACGAUGUUCACUAGGUGCUGCGGGUAUUGACCCCUGCGGUGCCGUAGCUAACGCAUUAAGUGAACCGCCUGGGGAGUACGGCCGCAAGGUUA